Mangifera indica (mango) is the source of this 1182-nucleotide RNA transcript. RefSeq lists it as uncharacterized. Lineage: Eukaryota; Viridiplantae; Streptophyta; Magnoliopsida; Sapindales; Anacardiaceae. The transcript has 5 exons. The record is from RefSeq and is a predicted model, not a curated record.
AUAUGGUUGAAAUUAAACAACAAAAAUAAUUUUCUGAAGAAAUAAUGUAAUGUUGUACCUCAUCUCAUCCUGUCCAUUCGACCGCACAGCACAACUAUGGCGCUUGCUCUCAAAUCCCUUACGCUCUCCUCACUCUGCACUUCUCCAUCCACGACUUCACCCGCUCUCAUCUUUCGGCCAUUUCAUUAUUCACAAUCUGUAAAGCUAAAUAACAAACCUUACUCAAUCUACACCGUCGAUUCCAAGUCCUUUCGUCUCUUUUAUCGUUUAUCCGAUUAUUCUGAAAAUGAUGAUGAAAAUUCAAACUCCAGCUUCGAUGAAGCAGUUGCACUUUUCAACAAGAGAGCUUACUACGAAUGUCAUGACACUCUUGAAGCUCUCUGGUACAGUGCCGAAGAACCAACUAGAACUCUCCUUCAUGGUAUUCUUCAAUGCGCUGUGGGAUUUUAUCAUUUAUUUAACCGGAAUCAUAAAGGAGCAAUGAUGGAGUUGGGAGAGGGACUGGGUAAGCUCCGUAAAAUGAAACUUUCGAGUGGACCAUUUCAUGAGUUCGAGCUCGAGAUUUCUGCAACUUUGGAUUUUAUUUAUCAAACUCAAAUUGAAUUGGCUGCCUGCAUUGAUGAUCUCUGUCUAGCAAUGGAUCAAUCAGAAAGAUCAUAUCAACUUCUUGGGGACUAUGGUGCUGGCCAAUAUUUGUAUCAUCUUGAGAGUGAUGAGAAUGAAAUUAUGCAUAUUGUCUUCCACCCUCCAAGAGCUUAUGCCUCUCAAAACUCUUUAAAGGAAAAACUUACUAGUGUAAAAACUAGCAAAGUCAGUUAAAAAGUAAGGCUUACAUUCAAACAAAUUUGGGGUAGCCGUCCACCCAAAUAGAUUGCUGCCAUUGCCCAACCAAGAGAUGGCGCAGAGUGCGUAGAAACUUGUCCACCAAGCAAGGGCUCCUUAAUGGUAAUCCCAGAAUGAUGAGAGGUGGGACUCAUUCUUUGUACUAAGAAAGACCCUGCUGUUGGUGUAUGACUCCUUGACAGAGAUCUGGCAGACCUGGUGAAUUUACAAAGAAAAUAUAUCAAGUUAUUAUCACAAACAUCAUUGACCAUUAUGGAAUGAAAUUCUUAGUGCUGUACAUCAAUUUCCUUUUUGCUGGAAUCCAUUCAAUAGAAGCAUAAACCACAGUUUCUAUUCAAA